AUACGUAGGGGGCGAGCGUUGUCCGGAUUUAUUGGGCGUAAAGGGUGCGCAGGCGGCCAUUUAAGUCAGCGGUUAAAUCGUGGGGCUCAACCCCAUUCUGCCGUUGAUACUGGGUGGCUUGAUUGCGGUCGAGGUUGGCGGAAUUCGUUGUGUAGCGGUGAAAUGCAUAGAUAUGACGAAGAACACCGAUUGCGUAGGCAGCUGACCAGACCGCAAAUGACGCUCAUGCACGAAAGUGCGGGGAUCGAACAGGAUUAGAUACCCUGGUAGUCCGCACAGUAAACGAUGAAUACUUGUUUUCGGCGAUAUAAUGUCGGAGGCAAAGCGAAAGCGAUAAGUAUUCCACCUGGGGAGUACGCCGGCAACGGUGAAACUCAAAGGAAUUGACGGGG
This 392-nucleotide ribosomal RNA is filed under the name uncultured bacterium. RNAcentral's name for it is "partial 16S ribosomal RNA". It matches the Rfam family "Bacterial small subunit ribosomal RNA", at positions 523 to 918 of the family's 1533-position model. The record is from RNAcentral.